UGCAAUUCCUUGGGAACUAGUUCUCCUGUUUGGUUACCUGGUGUGGUGUCAGCAUUGUGCUUUGAGGAGGCAAUGGCUCUGAAGCAGCACCACUCGAAAGAACCUCAUCUCUGCAGAAAUUUACGAUAUCAAAGCCAGUAAGAGCAGUUCUUCUGGAGAAACACACGUAAGCCACUCUAGUUUAACCCAGAUUGUCUGGCAUUGUAUUGAUUCAGCACAAAAAGAAAUGCACAACAGGAAUUGGGAAGAAAUAAAAACCAGGAAUAGGAGCA
This 272-nucleotide long non-coding RNA is filed under the name Chrysolophus pictus (golden pheasant). RNAcentral describes it as "lncRNA (ENSCPIG00010007500.1)". Lineage: Eukaryota; Metazoa; Chordata; Aves; Galliformes; Phasianidae. The record is from RNAcentral.